RNAcentral lists this ribosomal RNA (500 nucleotides) under uncultured diatom. RNAcentral's name for it is "SSU rRNA". It matches the Rfam family "Eukaryotic small subunit ribosomal RNA", at positions 491 to 995 of the family's 1831-position model. Lineage: Eukaryota; Bacillariophyta. The record is from RNAcentral.
CCUUUACAGGUCUGGCAAUUGGAAUGAGAACAAUUUAAAUCCCUUAUCGAGUAUCAAUUGGAGGGCAAGUCUGGUGCCAGCAGCCGCGGUAAUUCCAGCUCCAAUAGCGUAUAUUAAAGUUGUUGCAGUUAAAAAGCUCGUAGUUGGAUUUGUGGUGUACUUCGGCGGCCCGUCACUAUGUGAUGGAGCUUGCUGAAGUCGCCAUCCUUGGGUGGAUCCUGUGUGGCAUUAAGUUGUCGUGCAGGGGAUGCCCAUCGUUUACUGUGAAAAAAUUAGAGUGUUCAAAGCAGGCUUAUGCCGUUGAAUAUAUUAGCAUGGAAUAAUAAGAUAGGACCUUGGUACUAUUUUGUUGGUUUGCGCACCAAGGUAAUGAUUAAUAGGGACAGUUGGGGGUAUUCGUAUUUCAUUGUCAGAGGUGAAAUUCUUGGAUUUCUGAAAGACGAACUACUGCGAAAGCAUUUACCAAGGAUGUUUUCAUUAAUCAAGAACGAAAGUUAGGG